AACGAACGCUGGCGGCAUGCCUAACACAUGCAAGUCGAACGAGACCUUCGGGUCUAGUGGCGCACGGGUGCGUAACGCGUGGGAACCUGCCCUUAGGUUCGGAAUAACUCCCCGAAAGGGGUGCUAAUACCGGAUAAUGUCUUCGGACCAAAGAUUUAUCGCCUUUGGAUGGGCCCGCGUUGGAUUAGCUAGUUGGUAGGGUAAAAGCCUACCAAGGCGACGAUCCAUAGCUGGUCUGAGAGGAUGAUCAGCCACACUGGGACUGGGACACGGCCCAGACCCCUACGGGAGGCAGCAGUGGGGAAUAUUGGGCAAGGGGCGGAAGCCUGAUCCGGCCAUGCCGGGGGAGUGAGGAAGGGCUUAGGGUUGUAAAGCUCCUUUACCCGGGAUGAUAAUGACAGUACCGGGAGAAUAAGCUCCGGCUAACUCCGUG
RNAcentral lists this ribosomal RNA (433 nucleotides) under uncultured bacterium. RNAcentral describes it as "partial 16S ribosomal RNA". It matches the Rfam family "Bacterial small subunit ribosomal RNA", at positions 29 to 507 of the family's 1533-position model. The record is from RNAcentral.